UACGAAAAGGGCUAGGGUUGUUCGGAAUUACUGGGCGUAAAGCGCACGUAGGCGGCCUUGUAAGUUGGGGGUGAAAUCCCGGAGCUCAACUCCGGAACUGCCUCCAAAACUACAAAGCUCGAGGAUGUGAGAGGAGAGUGGAAUUCCGAGUGUAGAGGUGAAAUUCGUAGAUAUUCGGAAGAACACCAGUGGCGAAGGCGGCUCUCGGGCACACUUCUAACGCUGAGGUGCGAAAGCGUGGGGAGCAAACAGG
This 253-nucleotide ribosomal RNA is filed under the name uncultured bacterium. Its description in RNAcentral is "partial 16S ribosomal RNA". It matches the Rfam family "Bacterial small subunit ribosomal RNA", at positions 524 to 776 of the family's 1533-position model. The record is from RNAcentral.